This 2925-nucleotide ribosomal RNA is filed under the name Escherichia coli O104:H21 str. CFSAN002237. RNAcentral's name for it is "bacterial LSU rRNA". It matches the Rfam family "Bacterial large subunit ribosomal RNA". Lineage: Bacteria; Pseudomonadati; Pseudomonadota; Gammaproteobacteria; Enterobacterales; Enterobacteriaceae. The record is from RNAcentral.
GGGUUGUGAGGUUAAGCGACUAAGCGUACACGGUGGAUGCCCUGGCAGUCAGAGGCGAUGAAGGACGUGCUAAUCUGCGAUAAGCGUCGGUAAGGUGAUAUGAACCGUUAUAACCGGCGAUUUCCGAAUGGGGAAACCCAGUGUGAUUCGUCACACUAUCAUUAACUGAAUCCAUAGGUUAAUGAGGCGAACCGGGGGAACUGAAACAUCUAAGUACCCCGAGGAAAAGAAAUCAACCGAGAUUCCCCCAGUAGCGGCGAGCGAACGGGGAGCAGCCCAGAGCCUGAAUCAGUGUGUGUGUUAGUGGAAGCGUCUGGAAAGGCGCGCGAUACAGGGUGACAGCCCCGUACACAAAAAUGCACAUGCUGUGAGCUCGAUGAGUAGGGCGGGACACGUGGUAUCCUGUCUGAAUAUGGGGGGACCAUCCUCCAAGGCUAAAUACUCCUGACUGACCGAUAGUGAACCAGUACCGUGAGGGAAAGGCGAAAAGAACCCCGGCGAGGGGAGUGAAAAAGAACCUGAAACCGUGUACGUACAAGCAGUGGGAGCACGCUUAGGCGUGUGACUGCGUACCUUUUGUAUAAUGGGUCAGCGACUUAUAUUCUGUAGCAAGGUUAACCGAAUAGGGGAGCCGAAGGGAAACCGAGUCUUAACUGGGCGUUAAGUUGCAGGGUAUAGACCCGAAACCCGGUGAUCUAGCCAUGGGCAGGUUGAAGGUUGGGUAACACUAACUGGAGGACCGAACCGACUAAUGUUGAAAAAUUAGCGGAUGACUUGUGGCUGGGGGUGAAAGGCCAAUCAAACCGGGAGAUAGCUGGUUCUCCCCGAAAGCUAUUUAGGUAGCGCCUCGUGAAUUCAUCUCCGGGGGUAGAGCACUGUUUCGGCAAGGGGGUCAUCCCGACUUACCAACCCGAUGCAAACUACGAAUACCGGAGAAUGUUAUCACGGGAGACACACGGCGGGUGCUAACGUCCGUCGUGAAGAGGGAAACAACCCAGACCGCCAGCUAAGGUCCCAAAGUCAUGGUUAAGUGGGAAACGAUGUGGGAAGGCCCAGACAGCCAGGAUGUUGGCUUAGAAGCAGCCAUCAUUUAAAGAAAGCGUAAUAGCUCACUGGUCGAGUCGGCCUGCGCGGAAGAUGUAACGGGGCUAAACCAUGCACCGAAGCUGCGGCAGCGACGCUUAUGCGUUGUUGGGUAGGGGAGCGUUCUGUAAGCCUGCGAAGGUGUGCUGUGAGGCAUGCUGGAGGUAUCAGAAGUGCGAAUGCUGACAUAAGUAACGAUAAAGCGGGUGAAAAGCCCGCUCGCCGGAAGACCAAGGGUUCCUGUCCAACGUUAAUCGGGGCAGGGUGAGUCGACCCCUAAGGCGAGGCCGAAAGGCGUAGUCGAUGGGAAACAGGUUAAUAUUCCUGUACUUGGUGUUACUGCGAAGGGGGGACGGAGAAGGCUAUGUUGGCCGGGCGACGGUUGUCCCGGUUUAAGCGUGUAGGCUGGUUUUCCAGGCAAAUCCGGAAAAUCAAGGCUGAGGCGUGAUGACGAGGCACUACGGUGCUGAAGCAACAAAUGCCCUGCUUCCAGGAAAAGCCUCUAAGCAUCAGGUAACAUCAAAUCGUACCCCAAACCGACACAGGUGGUCAGGUAGAGAAUACCAAGGCGCUUGAGAGAACUCGGGUGAAGGAACUAGGCAAAAUGGUGCCGUAACUUCGGGAGAAGGCACGCUGAUAUGUAGGUGAAGUCCCUCGCGGAUGGAGCUGAAAUCAGUCGAAGAUACCAGCUGGCUGCAACUGUUUAUUAAAAACACAGCACUGUGCAAACACGAAAGUGGACGUAUACGGUGUGACGCCUGCCCGGUGCCGGAAGGUUAAUUGAUGGGGUCAGCGCAAGCGAAGCUCUUGAUCGAAGCCCCGGUAAACGGCGGCCGUAACUAUAACGGUCCUAAGGUAGCGAAAUUCCUUGUCGGGUAAGUUCCGACCUGCACGAAUGGCGUAAUGAUGGCCAGGCUGUCUCCACCCGAGACUCAGUGAAAUUGAACUCGCUGUGAAGAUGCAGUGUACCCGCGGCAAGACGGAAAGACCCCGUGAACCUUUACUAUAGCUUGACACUGAACAUUGAGCCUUGAUGUGUAGGAUAGGUGGGAGGCUUUGAAGUGUGGACGCCAGUCUGCAUGGAGCCGACCUUGAAAUACCACCCUUUAAUGUUUGAUGUUCUAACGUGGACCCGUAAUCCGGGUUGCGGACAGUGUCUGGUGGGUAGUUUGACUGGGGCGGUCUCCUCCUAAAGAGUAACGGAGGAGCACGAAGGUUGGCUAAUCCUGGUCGGACAUCAGGAGGUUAGUGCAAUGGCAUAAGCCAGCUUGACUGCGAGCGUGACGGCGCGAGCAGGUGCGAAAGCAGGUCAUAGUGAUCCGGUGGUUCUGAAUGGAAGGGCCAUCGCUCAACGGAUAAAAGGUACUCCGGGGAUAACAGGCUGAUACCGCCCAAGAGUUCAUAUCGACGGCGGUGUUUGGCACCUCGAUGUCGGCUCAUCACAUCCUGGGGCUGAAGUAGGUCCCAAGGGUAUGGCUGUUCGCCAUUUAAAGUGGUACGCGAGCUGGGUUUAGAACGUCGUGAGACAGUUCGGUCCCUAUCUGCCGUGGGCGCUGGAGAACUGAGGGGGGCUGCUCCUAGUACGAGAGGACCGGAGUGGACGCAUCACUGGUGUUCGGGUUGUCAUGCCAAUGGCACUGCCCGGUAGCUAAAUGCGGAAGAGAUAAGUGCUGAAAGCAUCUAAGCACGAAACUUGCCCCGAGAUGAGUUCUCCCUGACUCCUUGAGAGUCCUGAAGGAACGUUGAAGACGACGACGUUGAUAGGCCGGGUGUGUAAGCGCAGCGAUGCGUUGAGCUAACCGGUACUAAUGAACCGUGAGGCUUAACCUUACAACGCCGAAG